Amphiprion ocellaris (clown anemonefish) is the source of this 109-nucleotide ribosomal RNA. The record is from Ensembl. NCBI's taxonomy places the organism in Eukaryota, Metazoa, Chordata, Actinopteri, Pomacentridae.
GCUUACGGCCAUACCAUCCUGAAUAUGUGUGAUCUCAGAGGCCAACCAGGGUUAGGCCUGGUUAGUACUUGGGUGGGAGACCACCUGGGAAUACCAGGUGCUGCAAGCU